This 465-nucleotide ribosomal RNA is filed under the name uncultured bacterium. Its description in RNAcentral is "partial 16S ribosomal RNA". It matches the Rfam family "Bacterial small subunit ribosomal RNA", at positions 28 to 507 of the family's 1533-position model. The record is from RNAcentral.
GACGAACGCUGGCGGCGUGCUUAACACAUGCAAGUCGAACGGAAAGGCCCUGCUUGCCGGGUACUCGAGUGGCGAACGGGUGAGUAACACGUGGGUGAUCUGCCCUGCACUUCGGGAUAAGUCUGGGAAACUGGGUCUAAUACCGGAUAGGAGCCAUUUUUAGUGUGAUGGUUGGAAAGUUUUUUCGGUGUAGGAUGAGCUCGCGGCCUAUCAGCUUGUUGGUGGGGUAAUGGCCUACCAAGGCGGCGACGGGUAGCCGGCCUGAGAGGGUGGACGGCCACAUUGGGACUGAGAAACGGCCCAGACUCCUACGGGAGGCAGCAGUGGGGAAUAUUGCACAAUGGGCGCAAGCCUGAUGCAGCGACGCCGCGUGGGGGAUGACGGCCUUCGGGUUGUAAACUCCUUUCGCUAGGGACGAAGCUUUUUGUGACGGUACCUAGAUAAGAAGCACCGGCUAACUACGUG